UACGUAGGGCGCGAGCGUUGUCCGGAAUUAUUGGGCGUAAAGAGCUCGUAGGCGGUUCGUCGCGUCGGCUGUGAAAACCCGGAGCUCAACUCCGGGCCUGCAGUCGAUACGGGCGGACUUGAGUGUUGCAGGGGAGACUGGAAUUCCUGGUGUAGCGGUGAAAUGCGUAGAUAUCAGGAGGGAUACCGGUGGCGAAAGCGACUCUCUGGACGGCAACUGACGCUGAGGCACGAAAGCGUGGGGAGCAAACAGG
Molecule: ribosomal RNA, 253 nt
Filed under: uncultured bacterium
Lineage: Bacteria
Description: partial 16S ribosomal RNA
Rfam family: Bacterial small subunit ribosomal RNA
Source: RNAcentral